AGUAAAGUUUUAUCCUGGCUUAUUUUUUCAUUUUCAGAUUAAAGGUACAUGUAAGGCUUGACAUGCCAAAAGUUUUAAAUUCGUUCAAAACUUUUUAAAACAAUUAAUAAAAAUGUGUUGAUAAUAUUAGAAUUCUCAGUACCUAAUGCUAAUUAUAAAUGAAAGUUAGAAUUGGUAAUUCUGUUGUUAUGUCCGGCAAAAAUUUGUGCCAGCAGCCGCGGUUACACUAAGGGACAAACUGAAAAAAUAUUGGUUAAAAAUGGUUAAGUGAAAAGUUAUUUUCCAGUGGUUUUGUGCUGAUAAAGGGUGAAAUCAAUUUUUUGGUAAAUAAAACAAUCGAUAAAUAAAUUAAAGCUGAAGCUGUUAAGAUAAAGUUAUGAACCAGGAUUAGAUACCCUGUUACUCUUUGUUUUAAAUCAAAAUACCGGGGUACUAAAUAGUUAUUGUCUUAAAACUCAAAGGAUUUGGCGGUAAUUUAGUCUAUUUAGAGGAACCUGUCCUAUAAACGAUAAACCACGUAAAAUCUUACCCUACUUAGUAAAUUCAGUUUGUAUACCGUCAUUAUUAGGUAACUUUGAUAAAAUUUAGUUACUGCAAUAAUUUUCUUUUAAUAUAUUAGAUCAAGGUGCAGCUUAUAGUGGAGGAAGUGAUGGGUUACAAUAUAAUAAAUAUAAACGGAUUAAAAAAUUAAAUUUUUUUAUAAAGGAGGAUUUAAUAGUAGAGAGGUUUUAAUAAGUCUUCUCGAUUUUAGCUCUAGAUUAUGUACACAUCGCCCGUCGCUCUCGUUAAUUAAAGCGAGAUAAGUCGUAACAUAGUAGGUGUACUGGAAAGUGUACCUAGAGAUA
This 845-nucleotide non-coding RNA is filed under the name Aristaeomorpha foliacea. Lineage: Eukaryota; Metazoa; Arthropoda; Malacostraca; Decapoda; Aristeidae. The record is from RNAcentral.